This 605-nucleotide ribosomal RNA is filed under the name uncultured bacterium. RNAcentral's name for it is "bacterial SSU rRNA". The stretch from base 1 to 521 matches the Rfam family "Bacterial small subunit ribosomal RNA", at positions 338 to 873 of the family's 1533-position model. The record is from RNAcentral.
CCUACGGGAGGCAGCAGUAGGGAAUUUUCCGCAAUGGGCGAAAGCCUGACGGAGCAAUACCGCGUGAGGGAUGACGGCCUGUGGGUUGUAAACCUCUUUUCUCAAGGAAGAAGUUCUGACGGUACUUGAGGAAUAAGCAUCGGCUAACUCUGUGCCAGCAGCCGCGGUAAUACAGAGGAUGCAAGCGUUAUCCGGAAUCACUGGGCAUAAAGCGUCUGUAGGUUGUUUAGUAAGUCUGCUGUUAAAGACUGGGGCUUAACCCCAGAAAAGCAGUGGAAACUGCUAGACUCGAGUGUGGUAGAGGUAGAGGGAAUUCCUAGUGUAGCGGUGAAAUGCGUAGAUAUUAGGAAGAACACCAAUGGCGAAGGCACUCUACUGGGCCAUAACUGACACUGAGAGACGACAGCUAGGGGAGCAAACGGGAUUAGAUACCCCGGUAGUCCUAGCCGUAAACGAUGGAUACUAGAUGUUGCACGUAUUAACCCGUGCAGUAUCGUAGCUAAGGCGUUAAAGUAUCCGCUGGAAGUACGCGUCGCGAGAGAGAACGACGUAAGGUAAAGUUAGUUACGGCGUGAGAGUGCCGACGGCGACGACGAGGGAGGAGG